UCCUCUUGCUGGCCUCUGUCCCGAAGAGGCCAGCUGCCCUGGACAGAGCAAUCCCAGUUCUCCGAGGGCUUCUCCUGCGGGAGCACCGGCCAGCAGCUAUCGAGGCUUCUUGAGAAUUUUUCACAUCAUGGCUGGAUUUCAUUCUGAAAUGUCCCAGGAACCCUCCUUCUGAGACUUGUGAAGCUGCUGCAUGUCCCCAUGUUACAUUCACAGCCCCAGGGCGCACACAUGGCUCGUGUUUCGGAUACAUGGCUGACCUGACUUGAAGCCACUGGCUCCAGAGCUGCAUGGUGCAAAGGGGUGAAGAGGGCGUUCCCGGGCCCAGCUGGCUGUGCCCAGCGUCGGAUCUGCCAAUCAUCCGGCAUCCGUUCCCAGCUGGUCCGGAGCACCGAGCAAAGAGCUCAGCAGACAGUGUGUACACCGGAGCGAAGCAGGACGAGCAGCUUCUGGAGAAGACUUCUCUCAGGGUAAGCCUGUUGCUGCCUCUGGAGAAAAAAAAAAUCUCACAAGCAAGGGGCGGGGAAGGGGAGCAGGGGCAUGCGUGAACGCUCUCUCACCUUCUCUGUGUGAGGGGCCUGGCCUAGGAGCUGUUCUUCCGGCGCUGGAACGUGACAUGAAGAAUUUCACCACCAAAACUCAGUAACUGGAGGGUCUUUCAACAUGCGCACCCUUGACCGCUACCCUGAAAGCCCUCGGGAAGCCAGGCACGGCGGUGCCCCCCAUAACCCCAACACUUGGGGGCAAAAGCCGGUGGGUCUCUGCGAGUGCCAAGCCAGCCUGUGAAGAGUGACGGUCGGGCUGUGUAAAGAACCUCAUCUCAAAAAGCAAAACAGAAAAGAAAAUGCUUCAGGCUCUGAGGGAUGCGACGCCCAUAACAGAAUGCACUUUUUUUAAACUAAAAGUGUGUGUGUGUGUGUGUGUGUGUGUGUGUGUGUGUGUGUGUGUGUGUGUGUGCGCGCGCGCGCGCGCACUACCUGCCCAUGUGUGUGUGGAUCAUGUACAUGCCUGGCUCCCACAGAGGCCAGCAGAGGGUGUCAGGUCCCCUGGAACUGGAGUUACCGAGAGUUGUGAGCCGGAGUGUGCAGAGAAUCAAGCUGUGGUCUGGAAGGGCGGCCGGUGCUUGAGCCGCCCGAGGUGUGAACACAGAUUCUCAGCGCCUGAUGCUGCGCCCCAGUCACCGUGGGUGAGUGUCGCCGUCGGUGCCCUACCCUUCCCUCCUCGAUGCUGUGAGCACAGACGCUGCCCUUGCGUGUGACGUGUGAGGCUGCGUGCUCAGGACAGCUGUCACGCACUAGUAGACAUGGCAGACGCGCCGCUCCACGCAGCACCUUCCUCCCGGUGCCACACCUGCCACAAACAACACCACAGGCGUGCAGACGCCCAGCUAGGAACGAGGGCACAAGCAGUUGUGAGUGCUAGGAUCUGAGCCCAAGAGUGGUAAGCACUCUUAACCGCCCCACCCGCCCUCGUCUUCUCGUUUGCUUGUUUGUUUGGUGUGUCACGCUACAAAGCCCUGGCUGGCCUGACACUCUCCUGUAUAGACCAGGCUGGUCUCAGACUCGCAGAGAGCCGCUGCUCUUGCCUCCCAGGGGCCAGGAUUGUGCUUUGUUGUGUUCUGCUUCACUUUCCUUGUCUCUAAUGCCAAGUCCUGCGCACUGUUCUCACUCUCCGAGGUGGCUGGUGUCUCUAGCCUCAAUGAACAGCUGCACUUGUGAGCACACACAUGCACACGCACAAAAUUAAAAUAAAAUACAUAUACAGAGACACGGGGUUCAAGGGAACCUCCUCGCUAAGUUGCAGCUGACAUCAGAUUCAAACUCAGAUCAAGCUGACCCCAAAGGCAGAAUUUCUUCGGCCAUCUCUACAAAACUAGUUAGCGACAAUCGGGGCCUGUGCCUCGUGGGCCUCACUGUGGAUGCUGAGCGACGGUGCUCUGCACAUAAGGACGGUUAUGGGAAGCCAAAGGCCAAUAUGAUUUUCUCUGCACAACUCUAAGUUCAGAAGGAAUGGGAGCGCUGGCCGGAGGGAAGAAAUGCGGGAGGCGCCAUCUUUAUUGCCAGUGAAUCCCAGGAUUCUCCCCAGCUCUCUGUCUCUGUGAGUGUGUGUGUGUGUGUAUGUGCCUGUGUGUGUGUGUGUGCGUGCACACGUAUGUUUGCUUUGAGCACUGAACCCAGGACACUCCCUUGCACGCACCUUAACAUUGAGCUAUCCCCCAGACACAGCUCUGUCUCCUGGCCACUACUCUGGGUCACUCCAUUGCUCCACUGAGAGAAAAGUUCAAGAGAGAGAGAGAGAGAGAGUGAGGAAAUAUUCAAAAGGCCGAGCACUGCAGCUCUGACUGCUUUGGGCAUCUGCAAAUGUGUGGCUGGGACAUUACCAAUUGUAUCCGUGUGCUUCAGUUCACAGCCCUGGAAGGAAGUAGGAGUCUUACCUCACCAAUAAUAAUAAUAAUAAUAAUAAUAAUAAUAAUAAUAAUAAUAAUAAUUAAUUGAAUUUCAAUCCAGUCUGUCAACUUUUCCAAGGAUUACCCUUCCCUGGAGGAAAGCCGUUUCGUUUUUAAGCAGGUUGGGGUUUCUCGGGGGACCUGGUAAAAUCAUGUCUCCUGGCUCUCACCACGUGGCUCCUUUCAGCACUCAGAUUUGUCACCUAAUUAAGAAGCUCCAUUGAUGUCCCCAAAUGAUUGUUCUGCUGAAAGACGUGUUCAGAACUUUCUCCGAAGAUCAGCAAAGUUUCCUCUUUUUUUGUUUGAAUUCUGCAAUGUAAAUAAAUGUAAAUCAUGAAGUGA
This is a long non-coding RNA of Psammomys obesus (fat sand rat), 2785 nucleotides long. RefSeq lists it as uncharacterized. The record is from RefSeq and is a predicted model, not a curated record. The transcript has 3 exons. NCBI's taxonomy places the organism in Eukaryota, Metazoa, Chordata, Mammalia, Rodentia, Muridae.